RNAcentral lists this ribosomal RNA (492 nucleotides) under uncultured bacterium. RNAcentral's name for it is "partial 16S ribosomal RNA". It matches the Rfam family "Bacterial small subunit ribosomal RNA", at positions 29 to 507 of the family's 1533-position model. The record is from RNAcentral.
AGUGAACGCUGGCGGUAUGCCUAACACAUGCAAGUCGAACGGCAGCACAGUAAGCUUUCGCUCCUACGGGUGGCGAGUGGCGGACGGGUGAGGCAUACAUCGGAAUCUUCUUUUUCGUGGGUGAUUACGUAGGGAAACUUACGCUAAUACCGCAUACGUCCUACGGGUGAAAGCAGGAGAUCUUCGGACCUUGCGUGUCUGAAUUAGCCGAUGCCGCAUUAGCUAGUUGGCGAGGUAAAGGCCCACCAAGGCGACGAUGCGUAGCUGAUCUGAGAGGAUGAUCAGCCACACUGGAACUGAGACACGGUCCAGACUCCUACGGGAGGCAGCAGUAGGGAAUCUUGGGCAAUGGGCGCAAGCCUGACCCAGCCAUGCCGCGUGAGUGAAGAAGGCCUUCGGGUCGUAAAGCCCUGUUGUUGGGAAAGAACAACAGCAGGUGUAUCCCCCGCUGUUCUGACGGUACCCAAUGAAUAAGCACCGGCUAACUUCGUG